RNAcentral lists this unclassified non-coding RNA (354 nucleotides) under soil metagenome. RNAcentral's name for it is "partial contains 5.8S ribosomal RNA, internal transcribed spacer 2, and large subunit ribosomal RNA". The stretch from base 1 to 120 matches the Rfam family "5.8S ribosomal RNA", at positions 35 to 154 of the family's 154-position model. The record is from RNAcentral.
GAUGAAGAACGCAGUGAAACGCGAUAAGUAAUGUGAAUUGCAGAAUUCAGUGAAUCAUCGAAUCUUUGAACGCACAUUGCGCCCACUAGUAUUCUGGUGGGCAUGCCUGUUCGAGCGUCAUUUCAACCCUCAAGCCUUAGUUGCUUGGUGUUGGGAGCUUAUCUUGCCGAAAGGCGGACAACUCCUUAAAACUAUUGGCGGAGUCGCGGUGACCCCAAGCGUAGUAAAUCUUUUUUUUCUCGCUUUAGGUGUUAACGCUGGCUUUCUAGCCGUUAAACCCUCUAAAUUUUUAGUGGUUGACCUCGGAUCAGGUAGGACUACCCGCUGAACUUAAGCAUAUCAAUAAGCGGAGGA